CCCAGACUCCUACGGGAGGCAGCAGUGGGGAAUAUUGCACAAUGGGGGAAACCCUGAUGCAGCGACGCCGCGUGAGUGAAGAAGUAUUUCGGUAUGUAAAGCUCUAUCAGCAGGAAAGAAAAUGACGGUACCUGACUAAGAAGCCCCGGCUAACUACGUGCCAGCAGCCGCGGUAAUACGUAGGGGGUAAGCGUUAUCCGGAUUUACUGGGUGUAAAGGGAGCGUAGACGGAAAGGCAAGUCAGAAGUGAAAACCCAAGGCUCAACCAUGGGACUGCUUUUGAAACUGUCAAACUAGAGUACGGGAGAGGUAAGAGGAAUUCCUGGUGUAGCGGUGAAAUGCGUAGAUAUCUGGAGGAACAUCAGUGGCGAAGGCGACUAUCUGGCACAUAACUGACGCUGAGGAGCGAAAGCGUGGGUAGCAAACAGGAUUAGAUACCCUUGUACG
Molecule: ribosomal RNA, 447 nt
Filed under: uncultured bacterium
Lineage: Bacteria
Description: partial 16S ribosomal RNA
Rfam family: Bacterial small subunit ribosomal RNA
Source: RNAcentral